UACCAGCACCCCGAGUGGUCUGGACGUUUAUUGGGCCUAAAGCAUCCGUAGCCGGUUCUACAAGUCUUCCGUUAAAUCCACCUGCUUAACAGAUGGGCUGCGGAAGAUACUAUAGGGCUAGGAGGCGGGAGAGGCAAGCGGUACUCGAUGGGUAGGGGUAAAAUCCGUUGAUCCAUUGAAGACCACCAGUGGCGAAGGCGGCUUGCCAGAACGCGCUCGACGGUGAGGGAUGAAAGCUGGGGGAGCAAACCGG
Molecule: ribosomal RNA, 253 nt
Filed under: uncultured bacterium
Lineage: Bacteria
Description: partial 16S ribosomal RNA
Rfam family: Archaeal small subunit ribosomal RNA
Source: RNAcentral